UCUUCUACCUCUGAUGGCUUUUUUAUAUCCCAGGAAAAGUAUAUCCAGGAUCUUCUUGCUCGUUCUGCUCUUACUGACGAGCGCAUUGUUGAGACUCCUAUGGAGCUCAAUGUUCAUCUCCGUGCUACUGAUGGUGAUCCUCUCCCUGACCCGACGUGUUAUCGUCAUCUCGUUGGCAGUCUUGUCUAUCUAGCUGUCACUCGUCCGGACAUCUCCUAUCCGGUUCAUAUUCUGAGUCAGUUCAUCUCUGCUCCCACAUCGGUUCACUAUAGUCAUCUCCUUCGUGUUCUCCGAUAUCUUCAGGGCACGAUUUCUCACCGUCUAUUCUUUCCUAGCUCCAGUUCUUUACAGCUUCAGGCCUAUUCGGAUGCUCCGUGGGCUAGUGAUCCUUCUGAUCGCUGUUCACUUUCUGCUUACUGUGUUUUUCUUGGCGGUUCUCUCAUUGCCUGGAAAACGAAGAAACAGAUUGCAGUUUCACGUUCAAGUGCUGAGGCUGAGUUGCGAGCCAUGGCUCUUUUGACGGCAGAGGUGACUUGGUUACGGUGGUUACUUCAGGAUUUUGGUGUUUCUGUCACU
Molecule: ribosomal RNA, 576 nt
Filed under: Triticum aestivum (bread wheat)
Lineage: Eukaryota; Viridiplantae; Streptophyta; Magnoliopsida; Poales; Poaceae
Description: partial small subunit ribosomal RNA
Source: RNAcentral